Molecule: long non-coding RNA, 1251 nt
Organism: Ornithodoros turicata
Lineage: Eukaryota; Metazoa; Arthropoda; Arachnida; Ixodida; Argasidae
Exons: 3
Source: RefSeq, a predicted model, not a curated record
UGAGCUCCUCAACCACGGUCGGGUCAACUGAAAAGCAAGAUGGCGGACUCCACUUCAGCUACUGUACUGUUGUCGGAAGCAAUAAGUGAGCUGCCGUGCAGUAAAAAAACACUUCGUUUGGUCAGAUGCCAUGACGAUGCACUUGAUAAACCCCUGGGAAGACAGUGUAGCUGUAUCGGGGACCAAAGAGGCCAGAAAAGAAAUGCCGCCGAUUACGACCCCUCGAGACAGCUACUGCGGUUUUCGUCGGGAAGCAAGUGCGGGUUAAAAUAGAAAUCCUGACGAUGGAAUACAGCUUCACCUAUGAAAACUACAGCCACACUGCACGGUUUCGCACUGCUACAAAACGACUUCAGAAACACUGAUGUCAUGAUUGGUGAGCAUAACCACAGCUGCAAUCUGAAUCUGUGUGCUGAUAUGAUGUGUGGAACUCUGCAUCUGACUGAUCUGCUUCAGGAUGAUGAGGGGAUAUGGAAAUGGGGUGUGUACGUCCUCUUCGCUGGAAUAUGUGUUGCAGUUCCAAUUGUACACGAACAGCAGGAUGGAAACCAUUGUUGCAGCAUCCCAGCCUGAAGAACAGACAACUGAGCAACAAGAGACAAGUUCGGAACCUGCACAGACCUCACAGAGAAAGUAGCCCAAAAACCAGACUGUGAUGAUGCAGGUCCUAGAGCUCUAAAAAGCUGUGGAAAUGAGAGCUACAAAAGCUGAAAAAAAGGAACGAAGGUUUCAAAGAAAAGUACUGAGGCUGCAGGAAGGAGUUAAUAGAAUGCAACAAGAAACGCUUCGAUAAGCAAAUUAAAAUGGUGCAAGCGUGAUGGUGUACUGAGGAAAGAGCUUACAUUUCCUUCAGUUCAUAUUGUGUGUUCCUCAAACUCAAGGAAAUGUUUUCUCCUUCAAAGAAAUGUUUCAUUCGAUGCAGACUUAUUUUUCAAUCAUCGCCACCACAAUAAUUUUCUUUUUGCCAUAACAGAGAAAUCUUGCAUACGUAGUUUGUUUUUAGCUUUAUAACAGCGCAUUGUCCUUGCAAAGCCUCAUUAAAUGUAUAUGUGUAAUGUAUUAUGUCAGUGAUUCUCGGCUUUUGUUACUUAAGCUGAAAAAGAGUCAUUGCGUGAAAAAAAACAAAAAACACAAGAAAACAUAAGCCCCAUAUUACCGUAGUUAUAAAAUCUACUCAUAAGGAAACAUGACAUAAAAUUAUCCACUUUAGAGAAAUGUACUUGCCUGCAAUAAAUAUGCUGUCAUAGUGUU